GAUGAACGCUGGCGGCGUGCCUAAUACAUGCAAGUCGAGCGAACAGACGAGGAGCUUGCUCCUCUGACGUUAGCGGCGGACGGGUGAGUAACACGUGGAUAACCUACCUAUAAGACUGGGAUAACUUCGGGAAACCGGAGCUAAUACCGGAUAAUAUAUUGAACCGCAUGGUUCAAUAGUGAAAGACGGUUUUGCUGUCACUUAUAGAUGGAUCCGCGCCGCAUUAGCUAGUUGGUAAGGUAACGGCUUACCGAGGCAACGAUGCGUAGCCGACCUGAGAGGGUGAUCGGCCACACUGGAACUGAGACACGGUCCAGACUCCUACGGGAGGCAGCAGUAGGGAAUCUUCCGCAAAGGGCGAAAGCCUGACGGAGCAACGCCGCGUGAGUGAUGAAGGUCUUCGGAUCGUAAAACUCUGUUAUUAGGGAAGAACAAAUGUGUAAGUAACUAUGCACGUCUUGACGGUACCUAAUCAGAAAGCCACGGCUAACUACGUG
RNAcentral lists this ribosomal RNA (497 nucleotides) under uncultured bacterium. Its description in RNAcentral is "partial 16S ribosomal RNA". It matches the Rfam family "Bacterial small subunit ribosomal RNA", at positions 28 to 507 of the family's 1533-position model. The record is from RNAcentral.